ACUCCUACGGGUGGCUGCAGUGGGGAAUAUUGGACAAUGGGGGCAACCCUGAUCCAGCAAUGCCGCGUGUGUGAAGAAGGCCUUAGGGUUGUAAAGCACUUUCGUUAGUGAAGAAAGGUUUAUGGUUAAUACCUGUGAAUUUGACAUUAGCUAAAGAAGAAGCACCGGCUAACUCCGUGCCAGCAGCCGCGGUAAUACGGAGGGUGCAAGCGUUAUUCGGAAUGACUGGGCGUAAAGCGCACGCAGGCGGUUAUUUAAGUCAGAUGUGAAAGCCCCGGGCUUAACCUGGGAAUUGCAUUUGAAACUGGGUAACUAGAGUAUGUCAGAGGAAGGCGGAAUUUCCAGUGUAGCAGUGAAAUGCGUAGAGAUUGGAAGGAACACCGAUGGCGAAGGCAGCCUUCUGGGGCAAUACUGACGCUCAUGUGCGAAAGCGUGGGUAGCAAACAGGAUUAGAUACCCUGGUAGUCCACGCCCUAAACGAUGUCAACUAGGUGUUGGGCACUUAAGUGCUCGGUACCGCAGCUAACGCAUUAAGUUGACCGCCUGGGGAGUACGGCCGCAAGGUUGAAACUCAAAGAAAUUGACGGGGACCCGCACAAGCGGUGGAGCAUGUGGUUUAAUUCGAUGCAACGCGAAGAACCUUACCAGGCCUUGACAUCCAGAGAACUAAGCAGAGAUGCUAUGGUGCCUUCGGGAACUCUGAGACAGGUGCUGCAUGGAUGUCGUCAGCUCGUG
This 735-nucleotide ribosomal RNA is filed under the name uncultured bacterium. RNAcentral describes it as "bacterial SSU rRNA". It matches the Rfam family "Bacterial small subunit ribosomal RNA", at positions 335 to 1064 of the family's 1533-position model. The record is from RNAcentral.